GGGGCGGUGGCGGAACGGUAGACGCCGCGGACUUAAAAUCCGCUGGGCUUGCGCCCGUGUGGGUUCGAAUCCCACCCGCCCUA
Molecule: transfer RNA, 83 nt
Filed under: Chloroflexota bacterium
Lineage: Bacteria; Bacillati; Chloroflexota
Also listed under: 1 other name
Description: tRNA-Leu
Rfam family: tRNA
About the family: Transfer RNA (tRNA) molecules are approximately 80 nucleotides in length.
Source: RNAcentral